Long non-coding RNA from Branchiostoma floridae (Florida lancelet), 786 nucleotides. RefSeq lists it as uncharacterized. The transcript is spliced from 3 exons. The record is from RefSeq and is a predicted model, not a curated record. NCBI's taxonomy places the organism in Eukaryota, Metazoa, Chordata, Leptocardii, Amphioxiformes, Branchiostomatidae.
AGUCUUACUGCAUUAGGCACUUCUUAUCUAUGGUGUAAUGAACUGACCCGUGUCGGAGAAGAGACCACGAUGAUUUAACUGCAUGAGUACUUUGUUGGUCAAAACCUCGACCAACAUCCAUGAUGGCUUUCAAUGUUUGUUGCCGAGGGGUCAUGGUGGUAAUUUUCUUCAUCAUUUUGGUGGCGCCAUCGCUCGGAAGGGCUGAUGACGUCAGCAACAGCAACAAGGACAAUCAGCACGAUCACAACGACAGGAAAGAACAAGCCAGUGACGCACGGAUUGACGUACUACUGAGCAUCUUAGAAAACGUGUCGGCAUUUUAUGAGAAAACCCCGAAGCCGGAUUUUCCUGAAGAUGGAGACCCGCUUGGAGCUUACGACCCAAUGAGAGCAUCAGCAGAAAUCGGAGAGGAUAAAGAUGAAAAAGUAGCGAAACCGGAUACAAAGAUAGAAACGGUUGUGAGGCAAAGAAGGAGGUUAUAUUGAUGCCAUUCAAUCAUAUGUCGCACGAUGGCGCUUUUACACUGUCUAGAACGGAAAGACCUGUUAUUCUGUCUGUGUAUUUUAACGACACCAAGAUAUUGAGUCCGCCAGCGACCACUGAGCAAAUUUGGUACACAAAGAUUGAUAUCUAUUUACGUUGUGUCUGUUUUGUCUUUUAAAUCAUAUUCAAACAUCUGAGUAUCGUAUUCUAAUUAUAAAAUCCAAUCUUGGUCGCUGUACCGGGUCACUCAGCGAUCACUGUAUAGUAGAAAAGUGGGAUUUUAAAUAAAGUGCAACAGCUUAA